This is a long non-coding RNA of Erinaceus europaeus (western European hedgehog), 608 nucleotides long. RefSeq lists it as uncharacterized. NCBI's taxonomy places the organism in Eukaryota, Metazoa, Chordata, Mammalia, Eulipotyphla, Erinaceidae. The record is from RefSeq and is a predicted model, not a curated record. The transcript has 3 exons.
GCCAAGACUGUGCAAAACCAGGGAGGACUGACCUGCAUGUGGGAGUUCCAGCAUUUUUAAGGAGUCAACCUCCUUCUGUUAGAGUGGACCCAUUUUACCUUCCAGGCACCAGAGAGCACAGAAUUGAGAGACUAUAUUUCCAUCAGUCCUGGAACCUCUAAGGUGGGGCUCACUUUCCUGCAUGCUUCUCUCAAUUUAUACCAAAUGAUAUUCCAUCCGCCGAUCCCAACCUAAUCAACGCAAGGAGUACCACCUCAGCAUGCUUCACUUCAGACUGAGUUCAGAGACAUCAGGCAUGGAUUGUCAGCCCUUCAGCCUCAUUACUCAGAUGCUAGCAUGACACCCACCAGACUUCCCUGGACAGACAACCUCACCAAUGUGUCCUGGAGCUCCGAUUCCCCAGAGCCCUUCCUCACUAGGGAAAGAGAAAGAUAGGCUGGGAGUAUGGAUCGAGCUGUCAAUGCCCAUGUUCAUCGGGGAAGCAAUUACAGAAACCAGACCUUCAACCUUCUGCAUCCCACAAUGACCUUGGGUCCAUACUCCCAGAGGGUUAAAGAAUAGGAAAGCUAUCAGGAGAGGGAAUGGGAUACAGAGUUCUGGUGGUGGGA